RNAcentral lists this ribosomal RNA (253 nucleotides) under uncultured bacterium. RNAcentral describes it as "partial 16S ribosomal RNA". It matches the Rfam family "Bacterial small subunit ribosomal RNA", at positions 524 to 776 of the family's 1533-position model. The record is from RNAcentral.
GACAGAGGGUGCAAACGUUGUUCGGAUUUACUGGGCGUAAAGCGCGUGUAGGCGGCUUGGCAAGUCGGAUGUGAAAGCCCACGGCUCAACCGUGGAAGCGCAUCCGAAACGGCCUCGCUCGAGUCUCGGAGAGGAAGGUGGAAUGCUUGGUGUAGAGGUGAAAUUCGUAGAUAUCAAGCAGAACACCUGCGGCGAAGGCGGCCUUCUGGACGAUGACUGACGCUGAGACGCGAAAGCGUGGGGAGCGAACAGG